RNAcentral lists this long non-coding RNA (722 nucleotides) under Anas platyrhynchos (mallard). RNAcentral describes it as "lncRNA (ENSAPLG00020015385.1)". The record is from RNAcentral. Lineage: Eukaryota; Metazoa; Chordata; Aves; Anseriformes; Anatidae.
AGUGCGCCGCGGCAGCGGCCCCAGCGCGCCCCAGCUGCUGCCUCCCCGGCCCCACGCCGCCACCACUACGGAGCUGCCGAGGCCCUGGGGGAUUUCUGCGAGGGACAGAGCAACGUGCGGGGACACCGGACCUCCCACAGCACACGGCGCCGUGGCUCCCAGCGCUCUGCAUAAUGACGGUGCUGGCCCAGUUUUUGCUGCUGAGGCGAGCAGAUUUUCAAGAACCAGCUCAUCCCUGGAGCACCACGGCGGAGCGGAAUGUGGGACACGGACAUCUUGGCCUCUUCAAUCCCAAAGCUACAAACGCUUCCACCACAUGUGCACACCAAGCCCUCGGGAGCUCAGGACACCAGACUGGGAAGAUGGAUGCUGAAGACAGCAGGGCUGUACCAGCUGUUUUGGAAACAGGACGCCUCCACCCGGCCUUUACAACCCAUACCAUCAAGGCGGUUAUUAAACUGAUACUUGCCACCUUCAGUGAUGAUUUUGGCUGGCGCCAAGCGGCACCGCAGCGAGGGAGCGGCGCGAGCCACCGAGCAUCCUCCCAGCCAGCUUUCAGCCCUCCUCCAGCCCCAGCAGCAAGGGCUGGGCACAGGGCAGACACCGCAGCGCUGGUUUCCAUUUCCUGCUGCAUGCUGUACCCCCCCCCUGCUAUUGCAAGAAGGGGCAUAGGCCACAUCCUGAGAUCAGACGGCCAUCCUUACCCAAAGCUCGUAACAUGA